This 317-nucleotide non-coding RNA is filed under the name Mycobacterium adipatum. Its description in RNAcentral is "Mycobacterium sp. YC-RL4 Mycobacterium smegmatis small RNA 1". It matches the Rfam family "Mycobacterium smegmatis small RNA 1". From Rfam's summary of the family: Mycobacterium smegmatis small RNA 1 is highly expressed during stationary phase of growth. Lineage: Bacteria; Bacillati; Actinomycetota; Actinomycetes; Mycobacteriales; Mycobacteriaceae. The record is from Rfam by way of RNAcentral.
ACGGAAGCUUGGUAAGGCCAAGGCCACACCGGAAGAGAAGGUGUGAUCUCCCGAGCCAGGCGUCCCAGCACGGAUCACCGGAACCCACGCGGAGCACAUGCCGCCAUACAGGCAGAAGCGUUGUGGGCCUGCGGAAUUCCGAAAAGCGAAUGGCGUCGACGGCCUCUUGGGUGGGGUCGCAGUCGUAGCGCAUCGGGAGAACGCCGAGGCCACCCACACAACCCACCAGAGCACGCUUGGUAACCGGAGUCCGUGCUAGCGGGCGGCGAGCCGAUUCGGACGAGAGUCCGAUCACGGAUCGUCGCCCGCUUCAUUUG